RNAcentral lists this ribosomal RNA (755 nucleotides) under uncultured bacterium. RNAcentral describes it as "bacterial SSU rRNA". It matches the Rfam family "Bacterial small subunit ribosomal RNA", at positions 8 to 760 of the family's 1533-position model. The record is from RNAcentral.
AGAGUUUGAUCAUGGCUCAGAUUGAACGCUGGCGGCAGGCUUAACACAUGCAAGUCGAACGAUGAUUAUCUAGCUUGCUGGAUAUGAUUAGUGGCGGACGGGUGAGUAACAUUUAGGAAUCUGCCUAGUAGUGGGGGAUAGCUCGGGGAAACUCGAAUUAAUACCGCAUACGACCUACGGGUGAAAGGGGGCGCAAGCUCUUGCUAUUAGAUGAGCCUAAAUCAGAUUAGCUAGUUGGUGGGGUAAAGGCCCACCAAGGCGACGAUCUGUAACUGGUCUGAGAGGAUGAUCAGUCACACCGGAACUGAGACACGGUCCGGACUCCUACGGGAGGCAGCAGUGGGGAAUAUUGGACAAUGGGGGCAACCCUGAUCCAGCCAUGGCCGCGUGUGUGAAGAAGGCCUUUUGGUUGUAAAGCACUUUAAGCAGGGAGGAGAGGCUAAUGGUUAAUACCCAUUAGAUUAGACGUUACCUGCAGAAUAAGCACCGGCUAACUCUGUGCCAGCAGCCGCGGUAAUACAGAGGGUGCGAGCGUUAAUCGGAAUUACUGGGCGUAGAGCGAGUGUAGGUGGCUCAUUAAGUCACAUGUGAAAUCCCCGGGCUUAACCUGGGAACUGCAUGUGAUACUGGUGGUGCUAGAAUAUGUGAGAGGGAAGUAGAAUUCCAGGUGUAGCGGUGAAAUGCGUAGAGAUCUGGAGGAAUACCGAUGGCGAAGGCAGCUUCCUGGCAUAAUAUUGACACUGAGAUUCGAAAGC